This is a long non-coding RNA of Notolabrus celidotus (New Zealand spotty), 1612 nucleotides long. RefSeq lists it as uncharacterized. The transcript is spliced from 3 exons. Lineage: Eukaryota; Metazoa; Chordata; Actinopteri; Labriformes; Labridae. The record is from RefSeq and is a predicted model, not a curated record.
AGACAGCCAGAGAGGGAGAGGAAAUGUGGGGAGAAGAGAGCAGGGGGAGACAUGCAGCAAAUGUUCGAGGCUUGGAACCUAACCUGCAACCACUGCGACAAGGACUACAGCCUGCCUAUAUGAGCACCAGGUAAACUGAUGGACAGCACUGGAUGGAAUCCACCCAGCCUCCGCUGAAUAACAUCCAUUAUCGUCUGCAGCCUACUGUAAAUUACCCCUCAGGAGACCAGGGCUGAAUUCACACAGUUACCAUCUUGCCGUAGGAGGAAAUUAGGCAGUUCUUUGAGCAGAGCCUGAUUUACAGUGGAGAGAGGGAAUAAGACACAUGGGAAAUCUAGUCGACUGAACUCAUCAACAGGAGUGACUGGCGGCUAAGAAACUGCAAAUUGUUUCACUACAGCUCUGCAAUAAUGCUCUUAGCACAUCAGCCUCACAUUAUGUUUAUGGAAGUCAUUUAAUGUUUGCAUAUUUCAUUCAAAAAGGCUCCGACAGAGAAACCAGGAUGCAUAAUUCAUCACAAUGCAGCUUCAGUUAGAUUUACUGCAGCCAUUAUCAAGAAAAAAAAGACUUAUGAGGUCAUUUUCUGCUGAUUCAUGAUAAACCCUGCACAUAUAGCUUGAUUGUAAAACCGUCAAAAUUGACCUGAUGCUUUCUUUAUGUGAACCAAACAGACAUUUGUUGUAAACAUCCUAUUUUUGGGAUCCGUUUGGUGGCUUAGAUGUGUCGAACACAAAUGCUGACUGAGCCUUUUCUGGCUGAGAUCAAGACCGUCUGUGUACUGCAUUAUUUAAGUGUAAGUGCCUUCUCUCACUCAAAAUAUUUUUUGAUUUCAGACACUGGAGAAUAUUAAGAAUGCUGUUUCAUUUUUCAAAACUUUUGACGCUUCACUAGUCGUGCACUUGGAGAUGAGAAGCAAAGAGCCUUUUUAAGCCUUCAGUUUCCUGCGAUUUUUGUUUCUUGUUAAGUUAAGUCUUUGUGGUUGUCUGUGUCCAGUUGAAGUUUUGCACUGUCUUUUUUGUUUCUGCCUCCUUAGUGCUGUAAAAUGUGUGUGUGUGUGUCCUUGUCAACGUUUGGAGGUGCUCAGGCAGACCAUAAUGAUCUGGCAGGAGUCCAAGACACCACCUCACAUGAGGAGACGAGGCUCAGCUACUGAUCCUAUAGAUUGGGAGUGGUUGUCUCCUUACUUUAUCUCGUCCUUUAACAACCUGAGCUCCUUGAGCUGCGCACCGUGGCACAGUGGGGAAAUGUGUUGCUGUUUAACCUCUGUUUGUCCUGAGGUAUGGUCCUGAAAACUCAAGUGGAGCUGGUUAUGACUGACAUUGCACGUCCUGCAACACGACUACUGCCCAUGUGCACAUCACAACUAUGAUGGUUAAACAAUAUAUCAUUCAGCCCUACCCCUCUAAACUGAUAUGGAGUCGAAUAGAGUCCUUCAUUUGAUACAGCUUUUUUCUACUUUAUUUAUUUCAGCCUAACAAGCAUGUAUUUUAGUCCAACCUCAAAACUUUCUGCGUUGCAUCACCCCAUGCUUAAUUUGCAAAUAAUCCUCACUCAUCCUCACUAAGUUUUAAAUGUAUUGGUCGUAGCUGCCGCAGUAUACACGGCCAACCAC